AACGUAGGACGCGAACGUUAUCCGGAAUUACUGGGCGUAAAGCGCGCGCAGGUGGGUGAACAAGUCAUGCGUGAAAGCUCCCGGCUAAACUGGGAGAGGUCGGAUGAUACUGUUCGUCUAGAGUAUGUUAGAGGCGUGUGGAAUUCCGCGUGUAGUGGUGAAAUGCGUAGAGAUGCGGAGGAACACCAGUGGCGAAGGCGGCACGCUGGGACAUUACUGACACUGAGGCGCGAAAGCAUGGGUAGCGAACGGGAUUAGAUACCCCGGUAGUCC
RNAcentral lists this ribosomal RNA (273 nucleotides) under uncultured bacterium. RNAcentral's name for it is "partial 16S ribosomal RNA". It matches the Rfam family "Bacterial small subunit ribosomal RNA", at positions 524 to 796 of the family's 1533-position model. The record is from RNAcentral.